Molecule: unclassified non-coding RNA, 253 nt
Filed under: uncultured Gammaproteobacteria bacterium
Lineage: Bacteria; Pseudomonadati; Pseudomonadota; Gammaproteobacteria
Description: contains 16S-23S intergenic spacer region
Rfam family: Bacterial small subunit ribosomal RNA
Source: RNAcentral
UACAGAGGGUGCGAGCGUUAAUCGGAAUCACUGGGCGUAAAGGGUGCGUAGGUGGAUAAUUGAGUUCAAUGUGAAAUACCCGAGCUUAACUUGGGGGAGUCAUUGGAUACUGAUUAUCUAGAGUUUGUCAGAGGUAAGGGGAAUUUCCGGUGUAGCGGUGAAAUGCGUAGAUAUCGGAAGGAACACCAGUGGCGAAGGCGCCUUACUGGGACGGGACUGACACUGAGGCACGAAAGCGUGGUUAGCAAACAGG